UGCGGUUAAAAAGCUCGUAGUUGGAUUUUGGGCGCAGGCGGCCGGUCCGUCGCAAGGCGUGUACUGGCCGUUCCUGGCCUCACCUCCGGUUCUCCGCCGGUGCCCUUGACUGAGUGUCGGCGGCGGCCGGAACGUUUACUUUGAAAAAAUUAGAGUGUUCAAAGCAGGCGAUUCGCCUGAAUAAUGGUGCAUGGAAUAAUGGAAUAGGACCUCGGUUCUAUUUUGUUGGUUUUCGGAGCGCGAGGUAAUGAUUAAGAGGGACAGACGGGGGCAUUCGUACUGUGCCGUUAGAGGUGAAAUUCUUGGAUCGGCGCAAGACGAACGACUGCGAAAGCAUUUGCCAAGAAUGUUUUCUUUAAUCAAGAGCGAAAGUCAGAGGUUCGAAGACGAUCAGAUACCGUCCUAGUUCUGACUAUAAACGAUGCCAACUAGCGAUCGGGGGGCGUUAGUUUUACGACCUCUCCGGCAGCUUGCGGGAAACCAAAGUCUUUGGGUUCCGGGGGAAGUAUGGUUGCAAAGCUGAAACUUAAAGGAAUUGACGGAAGGGCACCACCAGGAGUGGAGCCUGCGGCUUAAUUUGACUCAACACGGGAAAUCUCACCCGGCCCGGACACAGUGAGGAUUGACAGAUUGAGAGCUCUUUCUUGAUUCUGUGGGUGGUGGUGCAUGGCCGUUCUUAGUUGGUGGAGCGAUUUGUCUGGUUAAUUCCGAUAACGAACGAGACUCUGGCUUGCUAACUAGUUACGCGACCCAAUCGGUCGGCGUCUAACUUCUUAGAGGGACUAGUGGCGUUUAGCCACACGAGAUUGAGCAAUAACAGGUCUGUGAUGCCCUUAGAUGUUCGGGGCCGCACGCGCGCUACACUGACCGGAUCAGCAUGUGCUCGCCUUGGCCGACAGGUCUGGGUAACCCGCUGAACCCCGGUCGUGCUAGGGAUAGGGAAUUGCAAUUAUUUCCCUUGAACGAGGAAUUCCCAGU
Molecule: ribosomal RNA, 978 nt
Filed under: Ascidia zara
Lineage: Eukaryota; Metazoa; Chordata; Ascidiacea; Phlebobranchia; Ascidiidae
Description: SSU rRNA
Rfam family: Eukaryotic small subunit ribosomal RNA
Source: RNAcentral